UACGGAGGGUGCGAGCGUUGUCCGGAAUCACUGGGCGUAAAGGGCGCGUAGGCGGCCUGAUAAGUAGGGGGUGAAAUCCUGCGGCUUAACCGCAGGGCUGCCUUCUAAACUGUCGGGCUAGAGCACGGUAGAGGCAGAUGGAAUUCCCGGUGUAGCGGUGGAAUGCGUAGAGAUCCGGAAGAACACCGGUGGCGAAGGCGGCCUGCUGGGCAGUUGCUGACACUGAGGCGCGACAGCGUGGGGAGCAAACAGG
Molecule: ribosomal RNA, 253 nt
Filed under: uncultured bacterium
Lineage: Bacteria
Description: partial 16S ribosomal RNA
Rfam family: Bacterial small subunit ribosomal RNA
Source: RNAcentral